Molecule: ribosomal RNA, 253 nt
Filed under: uncultured bacterium
Lineage: Bacteria
Description: partial 16S ribosomal RNA
Rfam family: Bacterial small subunit ribosomal RNA
Source: RNAcentral
UACGAGGGGGGCGAGCGUUGUUCGGAAUUAUUGGGCGUAAAGGGCGCGUAGGCGGUCUGAUAAGUCUGAUGUGAAAUCUCUGGGCUCAACCCAGAGUCUGCAUUAGAAACUGUCGGGCUUGAGUAUGGGAGAGGUGCGUGGAAUUUCCGGUGUAGCGGUGAAAUGCGUAGAUAUCGGAAGGAACACCUGUGGCGAAAGCGGCGCACUGGACCAAAACUGACGCUGAGGCGCGAAAGCUAGGGGAGCAAACAGG